RNAcentral lists this long non-coding RNA (1865 nucleotides) under Vulpes vulpes (red fox). RNAcentral describes it as "lncRNA (ENSVVUG00000005744.1)". Lineage: Eukaryota; Metazoa; Chordata; Mammalia; Carnivora; Canidae. The record is from RNAcentral.
CGAAAAGUCACUAACACUGGGACGAUUUGGUCGGGCGGACCCCGCGGCUACUCCACGCCAGGAACCCGAUACCCAGGGUGGAGGGGGGCAGCAGGAGCGAGGACCCGGAGCGCGAGCAGCUGCAAGAGCAGCGGGGGCACCCGCACUCCUCGCCUGCCGACCCACGCUGCGCGCCCCUUCCUCUGAUUGGACGGGAGCAGCCCGGGGGGCGGGCGGACGGGAGGGAAGGCAGAGAUUGGCUAAGCGUGGGAAGAAGGCGGAGCCUUGUCGGGGAGGGAGGCGGAGCUUGGCUCCUAGGGCUAGCCCGGUCCCCCCGCUGGGAUUCCGCCCGGGGCUGGCGGCUCUGAGGCCUUCCAGAUAGACGACCCAGCAACCGGUGACGCCGCCCGCAGGAGGCCGACGACUGGUCAGCCGGGGACGCGGGACUGGAGCGUGACUCCCUAUCUCGAGGCGCCUCCCAGCUGCCCCACUCGGCGGCCGCGCGCUCCGCCUGCCCCUUCCUCCGACGCCCCAGUCCCGCGAUCCGGGAGGCGGGGGCGGCGAGCCGGCUGAGUGGGGGCUGCGCGGCGUACAAGGAGCCAGUCGGCGACCGAUUUCCUCCCAUUCACAGACCCUUUUGCUUCCAGGGCAAACUACAUCAUGGAAUGAGGUACACAAGAGAGACCUGAGGGCUGUACUCUGGCACUCAGUUACCAAAUCAGCCCCUAGAUCAGGGUCUGUCUUCCCUAACAUUUGUAAUGGGGGGAAAUUGUAUCUUUGUGUAAAUGCCAUUUUUGUAGGCAUGUUUUUGUUUGUGCAUUUGUCUUGCCUUCCUUGGGCAUGUGCCCUGGGAGACAGAGGGUGGGUUCCCAGAAACUUGGCCUGAGAGGUCUCCAUGGUCCCUGGAGACCCCCAAGUGAUGUGGAGCCCUCAUUAGUAUGCACAUUGCUCUCUUUAGCAUUUGGAUCAAACACUUGAGUCCUGAGGGAAGGUUUUAUUCACAGGAGGGCAACCACUCUUUUGAACUGACAGCCUAGAAUCGACAGCCCAAGUGUCUGGGCCGAAAGUUCCCUCUGGAAGGAUGGGCUCCCUUUAAAGACUGCUUUUGGGUCUGCAGAGGGACUCCUUCCCCUGCUUGUAGCUUUUGCUUAAUCUCGUAUCUGUGAAUAAGGUGUCUAGGAUUUAAAACACUGCAGACCAAAAAAAAAAAAAGAGAGAGAGAGAGAGAGAGAGAGAAAGUGUGGGAGUGGAGGAGUGUGACAGAUGAAACAAUAACAAAAUGUAGGUAGAUGCUUAGGUGAGGGGGUGAUUCAUGAUAUUCUUUAGUUUUUUAUAUUUGAAAAUGUCCUUUAAGGCAAUACCCUUUUCCCUCCAGGAAAUACUCCCCUCUUCUAUCUCUCCCUGCCUCUGUCCCCUUUGCUCAAUGUAAAUUCAUGUUGUCCUCUUACUUCACCCUGCAGUGUACAGAACAUCCUGUUACAAAGGCAUGAGAAGAGAACAUCCUGUAGUGGCCACUCCUGCCCAUCGUGGAGGGAGCAGAAACUGCAGAGCUGAGGUUUGUGGCUUUCAAGGCUUUUUUCAAUGGAUCCCAUUUAUGGGGUGUUUUAAGCAGAGCUGAGUAUUUAGGAUGUUUCUAUCUGCCAAUAAGAAAAUGCUGACCAUUUUGUUUGCUUCCUCUCCCUGACCUGUUGAGUGACACAGCCUAUAUAUAUAUAUUUUAUAGAAGCUAUAUCUAAUCUUCACUGAAUUUAGCUGGGACCAACCCAUGGGCCUCGAGGAGAACUGUCAGUGACGGGGCCUGCGGGAGGUUCUGUACAGAAAGGCUGAGCCUGCCCCCAGACAGCUACCUGGACCAACCUGUCAGAAAGAUACAGGGAUAACAUCAG